Molecule: ribosomal RNA, 492 nt
Filed under: uncultured bacterium
Lineage: Bacteria
Description: partial 16S ribosomal RNA
Rfam family: Bacterial small subunit ribosomal RNA
Source: RNAcentral
AGUGAACGCUGGCGGUAGGCCUAACACAUGCAAGUCGAACGGCAGCACAGUAAGCGCUUGCUCUUACGGGUGGCGAGUGGCGGACGGGUGAGGAAUACAUCGGAAUCUACUUUUUCGUGGGGGAUAACGUAGGGAAACUUACGCUAAUACCGCAUACGACCUACGGGUGAAAGCAGGAGAUCUUCGGACCUUGCGCGAUUGAAUGAGCCGAUGUCGGAUUAGCUAGUUGGCGGGGUAAAGGCCCACCAAGGCGACGAACCGUAGCUGGUCUGAGAGGAUGAUCAGCCACACUGGAACUGAGACACGGUCCAGACUCCUACGGGAGGCAGCAGUGGGGAAUAUUGGACAAUGGGCGCAAGCCUGAUCCAGCCAUACCGCGUGGGUGAAGAAGGCCUUCGGGUUGUAAAGCCCUUUUGUUGGGAAAGAAAAGCAGCAGGUUAAUACCCCGCUGUUCUGACGGUACCCAAAGAAUAAGCACCGGCUAACUUCGUG